RNAcentral lists this ribosomal RNA (253 nucleotides) under uncultured bacterium. RNAcentral's name for it is "partial 16S ribosomal RNA". It matches the Rfam family "Bacterial small subunit ribosomal RNA", at positions 524 to 776 of the family's 1533-position model. The record is from RNAcentral.
GACAGAGGUGCCGAGCGUUAGGCGGAAUCACUGGGCUUAAAGCGUGUGUAGGCGGAUGGGUAAGUACCUUGUGAAAUCCCACGGCUCAACCGUGGAACUGCUCGGUAUACUGCUCGUCUUGAGCCAACUAGGGGCGACCGGAACAAACGGUGGAGCGGUGAAAUGCGUAGAUAUCGUUUGGAACGCCGAUGGUGAAAACAGGUCGCUGGGGUUGUGCUGGCGCUGAGACACGAAAGCCAGGGGAGCGAACGGG